GAUGAACGCUGGCGGCGUGCUUAAUACAUGCAAGUCGAGCGAACAGACGCGGAGCUUGCUCCUCUGACGUUAGCGGCGGACGGGUGAGUAACACGUGGAUAACCUACCUAUCAGACUGGGAUAACUUCGGGAAACCGGAGCUAAUACCGGAUAAUAUAUUGAACCGCAUGGUUCAAUAGUGAAAGACGGCUUUGCUGGCACUUAUAGCUGGUUCUGCGCCGCAUUAGCUAGUUGGGAAGGUAACGGCUUACCAAGGCGACGAUGCGUAGCCGACCUGAGAGGGUGGUCGGCCACACUGGAACGGAGACACGGUCCAGACUCCUACGGGAGGGAGCAGUAGGGAAUCUUCCGCAAUGGGCGGAAGCCUGACGGAGCAACGCGGCGUGAGUGAUGAAGGUCUUCGGAUCGUAAAACUCUGUUAUUAGGGAAGAACAAAUGUGUAAGUAACUAUGCACGUCUUGACGGUACCUAAUCAGAAAGCCACGGCUAACUACGUG
RNAcentral lists this ribosomal RNA (497 nucleotides) under uncultured bacterium. RNAcentral describes it as "partial 16S ribosomal RNA". It matches the Rfam family "Bacterial small subunit ribosomal RNA", at positions 28 to 507 of the family's 1533-position model. The record is from RNAcentral.